CGUAGGUAUCUGUAUUUCAUAGAUAUAGUUGGUAUAUUGCAGUUCAGAUAAUUCCCGGUUUAAUAGUAAUUUAUUUUAUUUUUGUGAAGAGUCGUGUUUUAUGUGAAAUUCUCGUUCAAAUAAUUAAAGUGUCCCGAAUAAUGAGGAUACAUCACAAUAGCUAUUCUACGUAUCAAAUUUGAAUUCAAUGCAAACAGUUCAAUCAUUGCAUACGGAUAACGAUUCUGAGCAAAGACGGUUUGUCAGCUUAUAUUGCCAACGAAACUCUAACGGACACCUCCAUUAGGAGGUGCUAUUAAGCAGAAACCUCUUAAAAGUGGAUGUUUUCAAGAGAGCCAACUACAAACUUUCUACAAUUUGAACCAUCUGAAUAGUGGACACCUUCGAAAAGCACACAAAAUGUC
This is a long non-coding RNA of Myzus persicae (green peach aphid), 404 nucleotides long. RefSeq lists it as uncharacterized. NCBI's taxonomy places the organism in Eukaryota, Metazoa, Arthropoda, Insecta, Hemiptera, Aphididae. The transcript is spliced from 3 exons. The record is from RefSeq and is a predicted model, not a curated record.